UAAAAGUUUUAAAUUAAGGCUGCUAACUUUGAUUUGGGAGUUAAGUUCUUCCACUUUUAU
RNAcentral lists this transfer RNA (60 nucleotides) under Ambigolimax valentianus. RNAcentral's name for it is "tRNA-Ser". The record is from RNAcentral. Lineage: Eukaryota; Metazoa; Mollusca; Gastropoda; Stylommatophora; Limacidae.